UACGAAGGGGGCUAGCGUUGCUCGGAAUUACUGGGCGUAAAGCGCACGUAGGCGGCUCUUUAAGUCGGGGGUGAAAUCCUGGAGCUCAACUCCAGAACUGCCUUCGAUACUGGAGAGCUUGAGUUCGGGAGAGGUGAGUGGAACUGCGAGUGUAGAGGUGAAAUUCGUAGAUAUUCGCAAGAACACCAGUGGCGAAGGCGGCUCACUGGCCCGAUACUGACGCUGAGGUGCGAAAGCGUGGGGAGCAAACCGG
RNAcentral lists this ribosomal RNA (253 nucleotides) under uncultured bacterium. RNAcentral's name for it is "partial 16S ribosomal RNA". It matches the Rfam family "Bacterial small subunit ribosomal RNA", at positions 524 to 776 of the family's 1533-position model. The record is from RNAcentral.